ACGAACGCUGGCGGCAUGCCUAACACCUGCCAGUCGAACGAGACCUUCGGGUCUAGUGGCGCACGGGUGCGUAACGCGUGGGAACCUGCCCUUAGGUUCGGAAUAACUCCCCGAAAGGGGUGCUAAUACCGGAUAAUGUCUUCGGACCAAAGAUUUAUCGCCUUUGGAUGGGCCCGCGUUGGAUUAGCUAGUUGGUAGGGUAAAAGCCUACCAAGGCGACGAUCCAUAGCUGGUCUGAGAGGAUGAUCAGCCACACUGGGACUGAGACACGGCCCAGACUCCUACGGGAAGCAGCAGUGGGGAAUAUUGGACAAUGGGCGAAAGCCUGAUCCAGCAAUGCCGCGUGAGUGAUGAAGGCCUUAGGGUUGUAAAGCUCUUUUACCCGGGAUGAUAAUGACAGUACCGGGAGAAUAAGCUCCGGCUAACUCCGUG
This 432-nucleotide ribosomal RNA is filed under the name uncultured bacterium. RNAcentral's name for it is "partial 16S ribosomal RNA". It matches the Rfam family "Bacterial small subunit ribosomal RNA", at positions 29 to 507 of the family's 1533-position model. The record is from RNAcentral.